Molecule: ribozyme, 91 nt
Filed under: Aedes aegypti (yellow fever mosquito)
Lineage: Eukaryota; Metazoa; Arthropoda; Insecta; Diptera; Culicidae
Description: drz-agam-1 ribozyme
Rfam family: drz-agam-1 ribozyme
Source: Rfam by way of RNAcentral
UGCCCAGCAACUCCUAUCCCUACUUCCCCGCGGUACUGGUUGGAGUACGAAUAACCUUAGGGAUGUUUGGGUCGUAUGCUGACAAGGAAGG